UUUGUUUACUCACGAACCCUCUGAGGUGAUGAUUAUGUAUAUGGAUGAUGCGGUAUUUGCCAGUUUGUUGGUAAUCGGUGGUGCUCUGGUUUUCUUUGGUGGCGUGAUUUACUUCAUCAUGAAUGAUAAGCCAAAGCAGUAAUUCGUUACAGUUGCAUACUUUCGGUAAUCGUUAUUUAAG
This 181-nucleotide small RNA is filed under the name Oceanospirillum linum. RNAcentral describes it as "PhrS". It matches the Rfam family "PhrS". Lineage: Bacteria; Pseudomonadati; Pseudomonadota; Gammaproteobacteria; Oceanospirillales; Oceanospirillaceae. The record is from Rfam by way of RNAcentral.